Molecule: long non-coding RNA, 583 nt
Filed under: Homo sapiens (human)
Lineage: Eukaryota; Metazoa; Chordata; Mammalia; Primates; Hominidae
Description: non-protein coding MIR29B2CHG:89
Source: RNAcentral
AGCUUUCUAAAAUCUCUUUAGGGGUGUGCGUAGGCUCCUGUGUCUAUGCCUGCUUUUGACUGCCCAGUUGAAGCCUCUUCCUAUGCCUUUUAAAAUUUCACGCACUAUAAGGAGGAAGAGCUCAGGGCUCCCAAAACUUUUUAUUUAGAGGGAAGAAUGCUAGGGAGAUGGGUAUGCAGAGGGUUGACCAAAUUGGAAGAAAAUAUUUAUUCUGUAGUUUGGUGUUGGAAAAGGGAAUUUUCCAAUCAGCCACACCUCAGUGUUGCGGCAAAAUAAUUCUUGGCUCCCCUGGAAACGCAUGGGCAAGGUAGGGCAGAGCUGCUGCUGCUGAUACUGCCACCACCCUGGGCUUCCUGCUGACUCUGGGCUACUCCCUGGGGACAACAGAUUUGCAUUGACGUCCGGGGCUGUCCAGAGGCCCUCAAGAGCCAGUUGUGAGCUGAGCCCAGUAUGGGAAAGAUCUACCUUCUGGAAGCUACUACUACGUGGUGCUUGGAAAGGUAACUCAGCAGGGCUCUGGGAACCCUUGCAUUUUAGAGUCUGAAAAGAAAAUAACAGCUGUAUGUGUUAUUAGAUGAGCUUG